AAUUGACGGGGCCGCACAAGCGGUGGAGCAUUGUGGUUUAAUUCGAAGCAACGCGAAGAACCUUACCAGGUCUUGACAUCCCGAUGCUAUUUCUAGAGAUAGAAAGUUACUUCGGUACAUCGGUGACAGGUGGUGCAUGGUUGUCGUCAGCUCGUGUCGUGAGAUGUUGGGUUAAGUCCCGCAACGAGCGCAACCCCUAUUGUUAGUUGCCAUCAUUCAGUUGGGCACUCUAGCGAGACUGCCGGUAAUAAACCGGAGGAAGGUGGGGAUGACGUCAAAUCAUCAUGCCCCUUAUGACCUGGGCUACACACGUGCUACAAUGGUUGGUACAACGAGUUGCGAGUCGGUGACGGCGAGCUAAUCUCUUAAAGCCAAUCUCAGUUCGGAUUGUAGGCUGCAACUCGCCUACAUGAAGUCGGAAUCGCUAGUAAUCGCGGAUCAGCACGCCGCGGUGAAUACGUUCCCGGGCCUU
RNAcentral lists this ribosomal RNA (472 nucleotides) under uncultured Streptococcus sp. Its description in RNAcentral is "bacterial SSU rRNA". It matches the Rfam family "Bacterial small subunit ribosomal RNA", at positions 908 to 1382 of the family's 1533-position model. Lineage: Bacteria; Bacillati; Bacillota; Bacilli; Lactobacillales; Streptococcaceae. The record is from RNAcentral.